This 261-nucleotide ribosomal RNA is filed under the name uncultured bacterium. RNAcentral's name for it is "partial 16S ribosomal RNA". It matches the Rfam family "Bacterial small subunit ribosomal RNA", at positions 337 to 615 of the family's 1533-position model. The record is from RNAcentral.
ACCUACGGGGGGCAGCAGUGGGGAAUAUUGCACAAUGGGGGAAACCCUGAUGCAGCGACGCCGCGUGAGUGAAGAAGUAUUUCGGUAUGUAAAGCUCUAUCAGCAGGGAAGAAAAUGACGGUACCUGACUAAGAAGCCCCGGCUAACUACGUGCCAGCAGCCGCGGUAAUACGUAGGGGGCAAGCGUUAUCCGGAUUUACUGGGUGUAAAGGGAGCGUAGGUGGCAUGGUAAGCCAGAAGUGAAAACCCAGGUCUCAACUC